UUUAUUAUUAAUUUAAUGUUUGCAUGCUGGCUUGCAUAUUUUUAAAACAAGUUAUUUAGUAUAAACAUUAGGCAGUUUAUAUUUACUGUAUUUACUGUUUGCUUUAUCAACAUGUAGAAGGUCUUGAGUUUGCUGACGUUAUUCUCAAAAUGCUUUCAGGUAAUUGUUGUCAAACAAGAGUUGAUAAUUUGCAUUUUCUUGAUGAUUACUAAUGGUGAGUAUUUUUUCUUUUCUUUUUAUUUUAUUUUAUUUAUCUUAUUUUUAUUUUUAUUUUUUAUUUUUUUUGAGAUGGAGUCUCCCUCUGUCGCCCAGGCUGGGUUAGGUUAUUUGCCAGACAAACAAUAAUGACAAAUAACCUUGAAAAAGAAAGUAUGUUGAUAUCUCU
Molecule: long non-coding RNA, 385 nt
Filed under: Pongo abelii (Sumatran orangutan)
Lineage: Eukaryota; Metazoa; Chordata; Mammalia; Primates; Hominidae
Description: lincRNA
Source: RNAcentral